Molecule: ribosomal RNA, 391 nt
Filed under: uncultured bacterium
Lineage: Bacteria
Description: bacterial SSU rRNA
Rfam family: Bacterial small subunit ribosomal RNA
Source: RNAcentral
AUUGAACGCUGGCGGCAUGCCUUACACAUGCAAGUCGAACGGCAGCACGGGAGCUUGCUCCUGGUGGCGAGUGGCGAACGGGUGAGUAAUACAUCGGAACGUACCCUGAAGUGGGGGAUAACGUAGCGAAAGUUACGCUAAUACCGCAUAUUCUGUGAGCAGGAAAGAGGGGGAUCGCAAGACCUCCUGCUUUAGGAGCGGCCGAUGUCGGAUUAGCUAGUUGGUGAGGUAAAGGCUCACCAAGGCGACGAUCCGUAGCGGGUCUGAGAGGAUGAUCCGCCACACUGGGACUGAGACACGGCCCAGACUCCUACGGGAGGCAGCAGUGGGGAAUUUUGGACAAUGGGCGCAAGCCUGAUCCAGCCAUGCCGCGUGAGUGAAGAAGGCCUUC